CUACGGCCGUCAGACUUCCGUUUAAGCCCCGCGGGAAUGUGAGAGCUGCAUCUGAUGCAUCACACCGUUCCGUGGGAGAUCUCCCGUGAGAAACCACGCUCUUGUUUUCACGUGACACCCAACAGAGCGAUAUCCCACACAGCAGAUCUUUCUGCUGCCGUCAGACGUCCCUUAAGAUUCAGGGAGAGGUCUGAGAGAAAGACUUAUAUCAGUAGCAUAUAAGCAGUAGCAUGUAGCAUUGGUGUGCUCGCCUUUGUACUCAGCUCGGUGAUGAAAACAUCUUAUCAUCCUUCAUCCAUCAUCAUCAUCAUCAUCGUCAUCCUCUUUAGUCAUUACAGCUGCGAUGCAGUCACCACACGUUAGUCAACAAUGCUCAGACCGUGUCUUCGUGGCACACCCAACAAGCCAGCAGACGUCAGACGUGCCAACCAUGGCAGAGGUCUGAACUCUAUACAGAGUUAUUGUGUCGCCACAUGUAUCGCACACAAUUACAGUGCUGUUGUUGUCUGUUAUCGUAGUACUUGCUGUUGUUGUUGUUGUUUCGUGUAUCUUGUAUCUUGGGUUCCCUCUCUUGUAUUUCACAAGGCACUGAUUCUCCUUUGGAAUGUGCAGGAUACACUGUUGCAAAGGUCAGACGUGCCAGAUCAGCUGGCAGAGGUCUGAACCAUACAGAGUUAUUGUACGGUCUCAUGUGUCUCUUCACACUACUCAGACUUGAGAAGGCAGCAUCACACAGAUCACACUUAUACGGGUUCUCUCCCGUGUGCGCGUGUGCGCAUGUGCGCGAGUCUCCGCUGCUCAUGCCUCGCCGACAUAUCUGUCAGCAAGUCUCCCAGCGACCGUCAGACUUCCCUUAAAGUUAAGGGAGAGGUCUGAAAGAAAGACUUGUCAAGUCUUUCUCUAUUUUGUUCUCAUGUGCGCGCUGCUUACCCGGUGAUGAAAACAUCUAGGAGGGAUGAAUUCAACGUCAGACAAUGCAUUGCGAUGCAGAGGUCUGAGAACCGAUCCUAGAUGGUCAGGUUCUAUUACUGAUAACUUGAUGUUGUUGUUGUU
Long non-coding RNA from Priapulus caudatus, 1053 nucleotides. RefSeq lists it as uncharacterized. The transcript is spliced from 3 exons. NCBI's taxonomy places the organism in Eukaryota, Metazoa, Priapulida, Priapulimorpha, Priapulimorphida, Priapulidae. The record is from RefSeq and is a predicted model, not a curated record.